RNAcentral lists this unclassified non-coding RNA (6941 nucleotides) under Patiria miniata (bat star). RNAcentral's name for it is "uncharacterized LOC119731290, transcript variant X1". The record is from RNAcentral. Lineage: Eukaryota; Metazoa; Echinodermata; Asteroidea; Valvatida; Asterinidae.
AAAAUCAGGCUCGUAUGAAAAUCGGACUCUUUUUCCCUUUUAUUGGUUAAACCUGUUGGGUCAGAAUGUUUCGUUUGUGUAAUAUGCUAAUUAGGUUAACUUGUUGUGUAUCUGUAUUCUUCGUCAAGAGAGGGCGCUAUUGCACACCACCCUAAAACAAGUCAGUUGGGUUAAAACGUUUAGAUAACGUCAAACUUUUCAUGUCAACGUCACUUUUCGUCACGCAAUUUGUUGUUUUGGACAGCCCAAAGUCGUAAGUUUAAUAAUUUCUAAAUCCUUUUAUAUGAUUGUAAGACAUAUAUAGAACAUGGCCAUCUAGAUAUUUGUGGGAUAAAAGUAAUAUUUCUGGGUUAAUUUAUUGGGGAAACUUUGUGUAAAAGUGUCAUGUAAAAAUGUGUGCAUAUAGACUUUAAUAUACAACAUUACAUGGGAUUCGCACAUGUCUACAGCUAAUUUACCACUAACUGGACAUUUGUAAUAUUGUUUUUGUGUAUCAAUCCUGAUUUGUAUUUGUUAUUCUUUGUUUUGUUUAUGUAGAUUAAACCGUGUUACGUGUUACGUGCUUCAUGCUUCAUGUUUCGUGUCUACGUGAUUAAAGAUGCGAGUAUACUGUUGCUGAUACAUGAUUGUGUACUAGUCAUUCGUCAUUAAGUCAAGUUCACUGGAACUUUUAAGUGCCAUCCUUUACAUGAGUUUAAUGACUGGGCUUUAUAAGAUUUGGACAUUGUCAUGAGUACUACUGAGACAGGAACGUCACGUCACGGUGAAAGCCGUUCAGCAUCGGAGCAUGGGGCCACAUCAGACACCGGUGGACAUGAUGACCUCAUUCGUCCACAAGAUUCUGUGAGUCAAUGCAGGUCAAAGGUCAGCAGGACAUCAACAUCAGUGACCGGUGCCAGAGUGAAAGCAGCUGCCAGAAAGGUUGCUUUAGAAGCAGAAGCGGCCAUGUUGCAUCAGCUGCAAGCCCUUGAAGACGAAGAGUUAAAGCUUCAUCAAAGAAAGAGACACUUGGCCCUGCAAACAAAGUUGGCUAUGGCAGAAGCGGAGGAGGCUGUGUAUGCACUUAACGACAGCAAUGAACAUUGCGAUACCUUCUCAGUACACGCAUCAAACAACAGUGAAGUGCAGAUUGCGACACCCCCACAGAGUACACCUGAAGUAGUGGAUACAUCUCCAGCAUGUCAAACCACGAAGUUGGAGUUCGACGGAAUGAAGGAACCAGAUACGAAGCCAGAGGCUGAGACGACAGUGGAUCCAAACAAGACAUCAGAACCGGACAAGACAGUGGAUCCAGUCAAGACAGCAGAACCUGACAGCGCGCACAAGAACAGUGAAACAACGGUUCUUGAGCUGGUGCAGCAGGGUCAAAAGCAGCAACAACGGCUGCUUGAGGUGAUACAGCUGCCGAAAGCAGAACUUUUGACAUACGAUGGAGAUCCCUUGCAGUAUUGGGCAUUCAUAAGAUCCUUUGAGAACAGUGUGGACAACUCCAAUUUGGAGGACAGUGCUAAGUUGAUUCGGUUGUUACAGUACUGUACUGGUAAGGCAAAGAAAGUGAUACAGUGUUGUUCUGUGAUGCAGCCACUUGAAGGGUAUAAGAGGGCUAAGGCCUUGCUUAAGGAAAGGUUUGGUAACAAUUACACGAUUGCUGAAGCUUGGGUGAACAAGCUAACUGAGGGUAGUAGUAUUAGCCCACAUGACAAGAAAGCACUAAGAGAGUAUGCAGAUGAUCUGAAAACCUGUAGGGAGACCCUUAAUGCCAUGGGUUACAUUCAGGAAGUAAAUACUCAGACAGUGUUGGUUACUUUGAUUGAGAAACUGCCAAGUUACCUCCGUAACCGAUGGAUCAAGCAGGUUAGGGUAAUUAGAAAGAAAAACGACAGGUCACCCCAAAUAGGGGAUUUAGUAGAAUUUGUAGAAGACGCAGCUGAAGAAGCUAACGAUCCUGUAUAUGGUGCAUUGAGUAAGCCAAAGGACAGAUAUGUUGUAACAAACAAGAAUGUUCCGAAGUCCUCUGUAAGUCGUUAUAGCAAAGGUAGUUACACCAUGAUGACAAAUGCCAAACCUGGUAACAUGACAUGUGUAUUGUGUAACGGUAGUCACACCUUGUUUGGGUGUACAGAGUUUAAGAGUAAGAAACCAGAAGACAGAUUUGAAUUUGCUAGGGCAACAAAACUGUGCUAUAACUGUUUGAGACCUGGGCAUAUGUCAAAUUCAUGUACCUUAAACCGAGUUUGCUCUGUUGCAGGGUGUGGAAAAAAGCAUACUAAAUUCUUGCACCGGAUUAAAACCAUCCCCGUAGGUCAGUUUACCCCAAGAACUGAGGUCACGACGGCACCAGCAGAACCAGCGGCAUCAGUGCAAAGUGGUUUCACCGACACAGAGGUUGACACGAGCUGUAAUGUCACAGGGGUCGGCGUGAUGGGAGUUGCGUUGCCCAUUGUUCCAGUCAAGGUCAAGGCCAAGGGUAGUGGUGUUUGCAUCGACACAUAUGCGCUCUUGGACAGUGGGUCCACGAGCACCUUCUGCACAGAAGAGUUGGCGAAGCGACUGAAACUCUGCGGUCAACAGCAGCAAUUGUCUCUCACAACGUUGGCAGGGGCAAACGUGCAAACAGCGACAACUGUCAUCAGUUUGACAGUUAGCGGUAUCGACUGCAAACAACCAGUUGAACUUCCGUUGGUGUAUACAAGACGUGAGCUCCCUAUCCAUGAUGCCAACCUGGCCAAGCAAGAGGACAUUGAAAAAUGGCCUCACUUGCAAGGUCUCAAGCUGCCACAGGUUGACAAAGGUCGAGUACAGCUUUUGAUUGGGCAAGAUGUUCCAGAAGCACUGAUGCCAUUAGAAGUCAAGAAGGGUGAGAGGAAUGCCCCAUAUGCGACAAGAACAGAGCUCGGAUGGUCGCUGAAUGGACCACUGGGAAUGGCGAACAAGCACACAGCCACAUCCAACUUCAUUGCCGCCGACGACAGUUUAGAGAGACAACUUAAGAUGUUCUGGAAGUUGGACACGACUGAUUCCAUUCAUGAUGACACCAAGGGGAUGUCGGUGAAGGACAAGCAGGCUAUUGCGAUAUGGGAAGAAAGUGUUCGUCUCACAGAUGGGCACUACGAGUUGGCUAUCCCAUUUAAGAAUUAUCCUCCGCACUUGGUUGAUAAUCGCACUGUUGCGGAACGACGUCUUUUUUCGUUGGGCAAGCGGCUACAGAGAGACACACUACUGCACGCUAAGUACACUGAAGGCAUGCAGGAUCUCAUCAACAACGGUUAUGGAGAAAGUGUUCCAGAAGAGGAAGUUCAUCCCUCAAACAGCACCGUGUGGUAUCUCCCACAUCACCUGGUGUACCAUCCGAAGAAGCCUGACAAGGUUUGCAUAGUAUUCGACUGUGCGUCUAAGCAUGUUGGAACAUCACUCAACGACGAGGUGCUAAGUGGACCAGAUUUGACCAACAAGCUGUUGGGGGUACUCUUGAGGUUUCGGCAAGAGACAGUGGCACUUAUGGCUGAUGUCCAAGCCAUGUUCCAUCAGGUCAAAGUCACUCAUGAAGAGCGAGAUGUCUUGAGAUAUCUGUGGUGGUCUGAUGGUGACAGCUCUCGACAGCCGAGUGUGUAUAGGAUGACUGUACACCCCUUCGGUGGUACAUGGAGUCCAAGCUGUUGCACCUUCGCUCUGCAACGUACCGCUGAAGAUAAUCGAGCAGACUUCCAACCUGACACAGUUGACACAGUCAUGCGUAAUUUUUAUGUAGAUGACUGUUUGAAAUCUGUCGCCAGUGAAGAGAAAGGAAUUCAGCUGGCACAGGAACUCCGUAGUCUUCUUGCUAGAGGAGGUUUUAGGUUGACAAAGUGGGUAAGCAGCAACCCACAAGUUCUUGCGUCCAUCCCCAUCGAAGAGAGAGUGAAGGAUGUCAAGGAGCUCGAUCUGAACUACGAGGCAUUACCGACCGAGAGCGCUCUCGGAAUGCAGUGGGAUGUUGAACUGGACUGUUUUGGCUAUAAAAUCAGUCCCAGCGACAAGCCAUUGACAAGAAGAGGAAUACUUAGUGUCUGCAGUUCUAUCUAUGAUCCACAUGGGUUUGUGAGUCCGUUCACUCUGAGGGCCAAGGUUAUCAUACAGGAUCUAUGCCGAAGAAAGCUGGGCUGGGAUGAGUCACUUCCAUCAGAGCACCUCAACAGUUGGCAACAGUAGAAACAAGAACUACCCGAGAUAGAACAGUUUAGGGUGAAUAGGAGUAUCAAGCCCUAUGGUUUUGGAGAGGUAGUCAAAUACCAACUGCACCAUUUCUCGGAUGCAUCAGAAGUAGCUUACGGAGCGACAACUUAUUUGCAUAUGACAAACUCGGAAGGCGACAAGCGGUCUUGCCUUCUUUUGGCCAAGUCUCAUCUAGCCCCCCUGAAAAAGAUGACUAUACCAAGGUUGGAAUUGAUGGGUGCCACACUCUCCAUCAAACUUGAUGCGAUGGUUCGUAGAGAGUUAGAUGUGUCAUUAGAGGAUUCAGUAUUUUGGACAGACAGCACCAUAGUACUGCAGUAUGUGAAGAAUGAGGAGCGACGGUUUCUCACAUUCGUGGCAAAUAGAGUUGCAGUUAUCCAUAGCGGGUCAUCACCCAGUCAAUGGCAUCAUGUUGUGUCUAGGCUUAAUCCAGCCGAUGAUGUUUCAAGAGGACAAACAGCUGAGGAGCUGCUUACUAACAAGCGAUGGCUCUAUGGACCCGACUUCCUUUGCCUGGAAGAUAGUGAAUGGCCAAAAUCGCCAAGCCUGAGAGAUCUACCAGAUGAAGAUCCAGAGAUAAAGCCAGACAAGGAGGUGGUUACUGUAUGUGCUGUAAACAAGAUGGAACAGGUCGAUGUGGUAGACAGGUUGUUGAAGAGGCAUUCCUCAUGGCAUAGAUUGAAGAAGAAUGUGGCGUGGUUGCUGCAGGUAAAAAACUACUUGCGAGCCAAGGCAAGGAAGCAACCGACAGUAGACAUGCAGAAGCUACUGGCCGUAGAUGAGAUGACGAGAGCAGAGGAUGCUAUCAUUUUGUAUAUCCAGAGAGAGUCCUUUUGUGAAGAGUUGAAGUUCCUCCAGAAGGACAAGGUAGACUCCAGAAGGUCAAAGGACUACAUCAAGAAGACAAGUCCUUUAUACAAGCUUGACCCAGUGUUGUCCGCUGAUGGUAUCAUAAGGAUUGGUGGUCGUCUGAAGAACGCUCCAGUAGACGAGGGAGUGAAACGUCCGGCCGUGUUGCCUAAAGAUCACCAUGUAGUCACUCUGAUUGUCAGACAAUUCCAUCAAGAAUCGGGACACUCUGGAAGAGAGCACGUACUUUCCCUAUUGCGUCAAAGAUAUUGGUUGAUCAAGGCCAGGUCUACAGUCCGCAGUAUUUUGCGUGAUUGUUUUGGGUGUAGACGUCAAUCAGCCACACCAGUCGAGCAAAAGAUGGCAGAUCUGCCAUCUGACAGGGUCACGCCAAACAAGCCACCAUUCAGUUUUGUUGGAGUGGAUUGUUUUGGUCCGUUCAUGGUUAAACCAGGUCGAAGCUUGGUCAAACGCUAUGGGUGUAUCUUUACCUGUCUAGUUGUUCGAGCCGUUCAUAUUGAAGUCCUACAUACCAUGGAAGCGGAUUCUUUCAUCAACACGUUACAACGGUUCAUGUGUCGACGUGGAGAGCCGGAAGAGAUCAGGUCCGAUAACUGGUCCAACUUUGUGGGCGCCGAGAGAGAGCUUAGAGAAGCUACACAGUCCCUAGAUCAGCAGAAGGUCAAUGAGUUCCUCCUUCAGAAAGGGGUGAAGUGAAAAUUUAAUCCCCCUACGGCAUCGCAUAUGGGCGGAGUCUGGAAAAGGCAGAUUAGGACCACGCGAAAGCUGAUGAAUUCUCUCAUGAAAGAGCAAACCAUGUACGACGAGAGUUUGUCUACACUUAUGUGUCUGGUUGAGUCUAUCAUUGGAAGGCCGAUAACUACAGUGUCAGAUGAUGUGAAUGACCUAGAGCCGCUAACUCCCAAUCACUUACUUCUGCUUCGUGCAGGGCAUGUCCUGCCACCUGGGGUAUUCGACAAAAAAGAUAUGUAUGGAAAGAGGAGAUGGAGGCAGGUACAAUAAUUGGCCUAUCUUUUUUGGAGAAGAUGGAUUCGGGAGUACCUUCCUAUGCUGCAAGAAAGACAGAAAUGGUUUGAGCCAAAGAGGAAUAUCCAGGUUGGAGACUUGGUGCUUGUCGUUGAUAGUGACUUGCCAAGAAGUAAAUGGCUUCUAGGACGAGUUGUUGAAACACAUCAGGGAGGGGACCAGCUAGUCAGAUCAGCCAAGGUGAAGACAAUGUCAUCUACCUUGAUGAGACCAGUCCAGAAACUUUGUCUUCUGGAAACAGUAGAAAGAUCUGAAACAUAAAUUGGUUGUUGGCCUCUACAAGUGUUUUUGUUUGUUUUAUAUUGUGUUUUCCAGUACAUGUAGUUCCAAAGGUUAGAGUGUGUAGUACAAAUAGCUGAUGAUUCAUAUGAUUAGAUCCAGAAGCUUUUCUUUUGUGUGUGUAUAACUUGUGUUAUGAUGUAUAAUUGAAAACCCUAAACCACCAGUGGAAGUCAACUUAAAGGGGCACUCACAUUCUCCCUUAUUUUUUGUAUGAUUUAGGUAAAUGCCAUUUUGGGGUUGGUUGUGACAUUUAAGGGGUCGGGAUGUUGGGUCAGAAUGUUUCGUUUGUGUAAUAUGCUAAUUAGGUUAACUUUUUGUGUAUCUGUAUUCUUCGUCAAGAGAGGGCGCUAUUGCACACCACCCUGAAACAAGUCAGUUGGGUUAAAACGUUUAGAUAACGUCAAACUUUUCAUGUCAACGUCACUUUUCGUCACGCAAUUUGUUGUUUUGGACAGCCCAAAGUCAUUAAACCGUGUUACGUGUUACGUGCUUCAUGCUUCAUGUUUCGUGUCUACGUGAUUAAAGAUGCGAGUAUACUGUUGCUGAUACAU